RNAcentral lists this microRNA precursor (95 nucleotides) under Paramuricea clavata. Lineage: Eukaryota; Metazoa; Cnidaria; Anthozoa; Malacalcyonacea; Plexauridae. The record is from RNAcentral.
UACCUCAAAUAACCACAACAGUCUGUUUCAUCCGUAUAGGAAUCAUCAGGUCGCUGAUGAUUCCUAUACGGAUGAAACGGACUGUUGUGGUUAUU